AAUUUUUAGUUUUAGGGGAAUUAAAAAUUUUUUUUUGUUAGGAAAGAAUUUAAUUAAAUUUAAUUAUUAUAAUAUAAUUUUAUAAAAAUUU
RNAcentral lists this transfer RNA (91 nucleotides) under Liriomyza trifolii (celery leafminer). RNAcentral describes it as "tRNA-Thr". Lineage: Eukaryota; Metazoa; Arthropoda; Insecta; Diptera; Agromyzidae. The record is from RNAcentral.